RNAcentral lists this ribosomal RNA (446 nucleotides) under uncultured bacterium. RNAcentral's name for it is "partial 16S ribosomal RNA". It matches the Rfam family "Bacterial small subunit ribosomal RNA", at positions 338 to 795 of the family's 1533-position model. The record is from RNAcentral.
CCUACGGGGGGCAGCAGUCGAGAAUCAUUCACAAUGGGGGAAACCCUGAUGGUGCGACGCCGCGUGGGGGAAUGAAGGUCUUCGGAUUGUAAACCCCUGUCAUGUGGGAGCAAAUUAAAAAGAUAGUACCACAAGAGGAAGAGACGGCUAACUCUGUGCCAGCAGCCGCGGUAAUACAGAGGUCGCAAGCGUUGUUCGGAAGCACUGGGCGUAAAGCGUGCGUAGGCUGUUUCGUAAGUCGUGUGUGAAAGGACCGGGCUCAACCCGCGGAGGGCACAGGAUACUGGGAGACUCGAGUGAUGGAGGGGGAACCGGAAUUCUCGGUGUAGCAGUGAAAUGCGUAGAUAUCGAGAGGAACACUCGUGGCGAAGGCGGGUUCCUGGACAUUAACUGACGCUGAGGCACGAAGGCCAGGGGAGCGAAAGGGAUUAGAUACCCCAGUAGUC